RNAcentral lists this ribosomal RNA (484 nucleotides) under uncultured bacterium. Its description in RNAcentral is "partial 16S ribosomal RNA". It matches the Rfam family "Bacterial small subunit ribosomal RNA", at positions 30 to 507 of the family's 1533-position model. The record is from RNAcentral.
AUUGAACGCUGGCGGCAGGCCUAACACAUGCAAGUCGAGCGGAUGAAGGGAGCUUGCUCCUGGAUUCAGCGGCGGACGGGUGAGUAAUGCCUAGGAAUCUGCCUGGUAGUGGGGGAUAACGUCCGGAAACGGGCGCUAAUACCGCAUACGUCCUGAGGGAGAAAGUGGGGGAUCUUCGGACCUCACGCUAUCAGAUGAGCCUAGGUCGGAUUAGCUAGUUGGUGGGGUAAAGGCCUACCAAGGCGACGAUCCGUAACUGGUCUGAGAGGAUGAUCAGUCACACUGGAACUGAGACACGGUCCAGACUCCUACGGGAGGCAGCAGUGGGGAAUAUUGGACAAUGGGCGAAAGCCUGAUCCAGCCAUGCCGCGUGUGUGAAGAAGGUCUUCGGAUUGUAAGGCACUUUAAGUUGGGAGGAAGGGCAGCAAGUUAAUACCUUGCUGUUUUGACGUUACCAACAGAAUAAGCACCGGCUAACUUCGUG